Non-coding RNA from Myotis brandtii (Brandt's bat), 75 nucleotides. NCBI's taxonomy places the organism in Eukaryota, Metazoa, Chordata, Mammalia, Chiroptera, Vespertilionidae. The record is from Rfam.
GGCAGUUCUCAGGUAACACAUCCCAGAAUUGGGCUUCCUCCUCUCUGGUUCCAGGUGCGUCACCCGAGAACUGCC